GCACAACUUCCAACUCUUGAAGGCUGGUUCUGCCGCAGCUGUUUCGCAUACAUUAUUUCUAUUUUCUCUCGAUAAAGAAUCCUAAUAUUCCUAUGAAGCAAUGUUCUGGGCUAACAGGUCACCUACCCAGUGUCUCCUGCCUCUAGGAAUGGCCAGUGGGACAUCAGAGGAAAUUACUGGCAGAACACCCAGCAAAAAGACAGAGGACUGUGCCGGGAACAGCGUCCUUUGUGGAAUGCCGCUGUUGCUACCCCUUUUCCAGAGUGAAAUAUAAACCUGAUGGCUGACUCUCAGCAGCAUCCCAUUGCCUCGGGCAAAAAUGUGGAUGGUGCUUUGCACUGGGAUGAAUUCAGUUCCCAAUACUAGUCUUGAUUAAGCACUUUCAAACUCUUUCACAUAAGAAUGUAUAUAGGCCACAUCUGUCGGUAACUCCAGUUCCAGGGGAUCUGAUGCCCUCUUCUGACCUCACAGGCGCUGUACACACCUGGUGUGCUUACACAAAUGCAGGCAAAGCACUCGUAAGCAUAAAAUAAAAAUCAACCUUUAAAAUGCA
Long non-coding RNA from Nannospalax galili (Upper Galilee mountains blind mole rat), 553 nucleotides. RefSeq lists it as uncharacterized. Lineage: Eukaryota; Metazoa; Chordata; Mammalia; Rodentia; Spalacidae. The record is from RefSeq and is a predicted model, not a curated record. The transcript is spliced from 2 exons.